This 73-nucleotide transfer RNA is filed under the name Chloroflexota bacterium. RNAcentral describes it as "Chloroflexi bacterium (groundwater metagenome) tRNA-Pro". It matches the Rfam family "tRNA". From Rfam's summary of the family: Transfer RNA (tRNA) molecules are approximately 80 nucleotides in length. The record is from RNAcentral. Lineage: Bacteria; Bacillati; Chloroflexota.
CGGGGCGUGGCGCAGUUGGGAGCGCGCGUGUAUGGGGUACACGAGGUCGAAGGUUCAAAUCCUUUCGCCCCGA